RNAcentral lists this long non-coding RNA (279 nucleotides) under Lathyrus oleraceus (garden pea). RNAcentral's name for it is "Pisum sativum (pea) long non-coding RNA (PSAT_LNC020862)". Lineage: Eukaryota; Viridiplantae; Streptophyta; Magnoliopsida; Fabales; Fabaceae. The record is from RNAcentral.
AGAGAAGAAGGCUCUUCUGCCAAACGUUAUAGGGCGUUUGUGAAGAAGAAAGAUGGAGAGGCACAUGUUGUUACCUCCCAUGUCAAAUCCAGAAGACCCUCUAUGAAGAGGAAGACUAUGCGUCCUGCCAGUAACCAGUACCAGGUGGCUCAUAUAGCACCUGUUUUUAGAGAAAAUUAGCAAUAUCAGCAUCAUAAUCAGAACCAGCAACAGUAACAUCAAUAGUAUCAGCAACAACAGCACCGUCCUCAACAGCAGGCCUACCAGCCUCGAAACAAC